This is a non-coding RNA of Dermatophagoides farinae (American house dust mite), 1334 nucleotides long. The record is from RefSeq and is a predicted model, not a curated record. NCBI's taxonomy places the organism in Eukaryota, Metazoa, Arthropoda, Arachnida, Sarcoptiformes, Pyroglyphidae.
UGGCUAAUUCGGUUUACCAUUUGUUUGUUUGUAUCGCAUCGUUGGUUCCAACAGCAACAACAACAACAACAGUGGCUGUAUAGUAAGAAGAGGGAAAAUGAAUGACCUGUGUGAAUUGUGAAUAAAUGAUGAUGGUAAGAUGAUGGCCAUUACACAACCAGAAGAAAAAAAACUGAUCAUUUCGAUUCGAAUAUAAUGGCUAUAUUUAUACUGAUGACUUUCUUGGUACAAUACCUGGAAUCGAAUAAAACUAGAUCAUUAUGGUAUAUGCCUCAUAACUGCUAUUCACAAAGCUACUGGCCAUUCAUUCAGAGAACCAUAUUAUUCAACGAAUCGAUGAUGAUAAUGAUUCAAUCAAUCAAUCAAUCAACAAACAAAUAAAAUCAUAUUAUAACACUUGAAUGCUUGUUUGAUUAUUAUUUUGAAAAUUUUUUCUUUUUUUCAUCAUUUCAACAGAAAUAUUAUUGACAUUCGAACAGAAAAAUAAAAUAUGAUGAUGAUGAUGAUCAACAAUAUUGUCACAACCACCAACACAUCGAUGUUGAAAUAGCCAUUUUCAAACAUAGUCCUAUUUUUUUUUGAUUCCAUAAAUAAAGAAUCUUUAUUUUCAUUCAAAAAUUUCUCAAACUAAACUACCACGACGCGACGCACCUUUCUUUGCACCACAGACAAUCAUCUCAUCUCAUCAAUAUACAAAACUGACAGACAGAUUGUUGAAAAGUUUAAAAAAUUCAUUUUUGUGUGUCCAUGGUCAGAAAAGAACGAAUGAAAAAGGGUCAUAUCAUCAUCAUCAUCGUGAGAACAUCGAUAGUUUUCGAAUGAAUUUCUACAAUCUCGAUGUAUCGAUAUUGAUGGUGUGUCAGCGUGUGUGGUUGUGUUCUACAUUUUGACUUCCGAAUAACAACAACGGACUUUCAAUCAUUCUUCAUCUCAGACUUGUUCAUGUACCAAUUGGACAAAGACUAAUUGGUGGUGGCCACAUAUAUUGUCAAUAUACAUGAAUAUAUGACCAGCGACAAGUCAAUUUGUUAUUAUAUGAAUGAAUGUUCUCUACAGCCAAUUAUGAAUCGACAAAUUUUUCUUCUUUCUUUUCGUUCGUUUUUGAGAGACCCACGAUAAUUUAUAAUCACUUUCCAUAUGUUUAUAAUCACUUUCUUGUUCAUAAAUUACAAAUUCAUAUGUACAGGGGCCAAUUUUGUUUCAUCUCUUUACAAAUUGAUGAUGAUGAUAAUUUGCAACGGUUUCAACCAACCGAUCAUCAUGACAGGUAACAAUAACCAAAAAAAAAAAAUCGAUCGAUCCAUUUUCAAUCAAUGAUGAUGAUGAUGAUGAUG